GCCCUUAUAGUUUAAGAAAAAUUUUAAUUUUGUAAAUUAAAGAUGUUAUCUAAGGGUA
This 58-nucleotide transfer RNA is filed under the name Proasellus escolai. Its description in RNAcentral is "transfert RNA-T(ACA)". The record is from RNAcentral. Lineage: Eukaryota; Metazoa; Arthropoda; Malacostraca; Isopoda; Asellidae.